UGCAAGUCGAACGAUGAAGCGCAGCUUGCUGCGUGGAUUAGUGGCGAACGGGUGAGUAACACGUGAGUAACCUGCCCUCCACUCUGGGAUAACUCCGGGAAACCGGUGCUAAUACUGGAUAUGACAUUUGCCUGCAUGGGCGAGUGUGGAAAGAUUUAUCGGUGGUGGAUGGACUCGCGGCCUAUCAGCUUGUUGGUGGGGUAAUGGCCUACCAAGGCGACGACGGGUAGCCGGCCUGAGAGGGUGACCGGCCACACUGGGACUGAGACACGGCCCAGACUCCUACGGGAGGCAGCAGUGGGGAAUAUUGCACAAUGGGCGAAAGCCUGAUGCAGCGACGCCGCGUGCGGGAUGACGGCCUUCGGGUUGUAAACCGCUUUCAGCUCUGACGAAGCUUUUUGUGACGGUAGGAGCAGAAGAAGCACCGGCUAACUACGUGCCAGCAGCCGCGGUAAUACGUAGGGUGCGAGCGUUGUCCGGAAUUAUUGGGCGUAAAGAGCUUGUAGGCGGCUUGUCGCGUCUGCUGUGAAAGCCCGGGGCUUAACCCCGGGUCUGCAGUGGGUACGGGCAGGCUAGAGUGUGGUAGGGGAGACUGGAAUUCCUGGUGUAGCGGUGGAAUGCGCAGAUAUCAGGAGGAACACCGAUGGCGAAGGCAGGUCUCUGGGCCAUUACUGACGCUGAGAAG
RNAcentral lists this ribosomal RNA (685 nucleotides) under uncultured Actinomycetes bacterium. Its description in RNAcentral is "bacterial SSU rRNA". It matches the Rfam family "Bacterial small subunit ribosomal RNA", at positions 56 to 753 of the family's 1533-position model. The record is from RNAcentral. Lineage: Bacteria; Bacillati; Actinomycetota; Actinomycetes.